Molecule: unclassified non-coding RNA, 253 nt
Filed under: uncultured Euzebyales bacterium
Lineage: Bacteria; Bacillati; Actinomycetota; Nitriliruptoria; Euzebyales
Description: contains 16S-23S intergenic spacer region
Rfam family: Bacterial small subunit ribosomal RNA
Source: RNAcentral
UACGUAGGUGGCAAGCGUUGUCCGGAAUUAUUGGGCGUAAAGAGCACGUAGGCGGUCCGUCAAGUCGGAAGUGAAAUCUCAAGGCUUAACCUUGAAACUGCUUUCGAUACUGGCGGACUUGAGGCAGGUAGGGGAGUGUGGAAUUCCUGGUGUAGCGGUGGAAUGCGCAGAUAUCAGGAGGAACACCAGUGGCGAAGGCGGCACUCUGGGCCUGUACUGACGCUGAGGUGCGAAAGCGUGGGGAGCAAACAGG